RNAcentral lists this ribosomal RNA (429 nucleotides) under Gemmatimonadota bacterium. RNAcentral describes it as "Gemmatimonadetes bacterium partial 16S ribosomal RNA". It matches the Rfam family "Bacterial small subunit ribosomal RNA", at positions 355 to 776 of the family's 1533-position model. Lineage: Bacteria; Pseudomonadati; Gemmatimonadota. The record is from RNAcentral.
UAGGGAAUCUUCGGCAAUGGACGAAAGUCUGACCGAGCAACGCCGCGUGAGUGAAGAAGGUUUUCGGAUCGUAAAACUCUGUUGUUAGAGAAGAACAAGGACGUUAGUAACUGAACGUCCCCUGACGGUAUCUAACUAGAAAGCCACGGCUAACUACGUGCCAGCAGCCGCGGUAAUACGUAGGUGGCAAGCGUUGUCCGGAUUUAUUGGGCGUAAAGCGAGCGCAGGCGGUUUCUUAAGUCUGAUGUGAAAGCCCCCGGCUCAACCGGGGAGGGUCAUUGGAAACUGGGAGACUUGAGUGCAGAAGAGGAGAGUGGAAUUCCAUGUGUAGCGGUGAAAUGCGUAGAUAUAUGGAGGAACACCAGUAGCGAAGGCGGCUCUCUGGUCUGUAACUGACGCUGAGGCUCGAAAGCGUGGGGAGCAAACAGG